CAAUGCUCAAGCUGUCACGGCAAAAUCCGUGGCCGGGUUUAGCAGCCCGAACC
RNAcentral lists this non-coding RNA (53 nucleotides) under Desulfobulbus propionicus DSM 2032. The record is from RNAcentral. Lineage: Bacteria; Pseudomonadati; Thermodesulfobacteriota; Desulfobulbia; Desulfobulbales; Desulfobulbaceae.